RNAcentral lists this ribosomal RNA (400 nucleotides) under phytoplankton environmental sample. RNAcentral's name for it is "partial small subunit ribosomal RNA". It matches the Rfam family "Eukaryotic small subunit ribosomal RNA", at positions 587 to 992 of the family's 1831-position model. The record is from RNAcentral.
AGCUCCAAUAGCGUAUAUUAAAGUUGUUGCAGUUAAAAAGCUCGUAGUUGGAUUUUGGCAGUGUUCGAACGGCACACCGUAAGGUUGUAGCUGGGCGAGCGUUGCUUCCUUCUGUAGACUCUGUCUGUUCUUAAUUGAGUGGGCAAGUAGGAUGCAGAUCGUUUACUUUGAAUAAAUUUGAGUGUUCAAAGCAGGCUUUUGCUUGAAUACAUUAGCAUGGAAUAAUAGAAUAGGACUAUGGUUCUAUUUUGUUGGUUUCUAGGACCACAGUAAUGAUUAAUAGGGAUAGUUGGGGGCAUUAAUAUUUAAUUGUCAGAGGUGAAAUUCUUGGAUUUAUGAAAGAUUAACUUCUGCGAAAGCAUUUGUCAAGGAUGUUUUCAUUAAUCAAGAACGAAAGUAC